RNAcentral lists this ribosomal RNA (468 nucleotides) under uncultured bacterium. Its description in RNAcentral is "partial 16S ribosomal RNA". It matches the Rfam family "Bacterial small subunit ribosomal RNA", at positions 28 to 507 of the family's 1533-position model. The record is from RNAcentral.
GACGAACGCUGGCGGCGUGCUUAACACAUGCAAGUCGAACGGAAAGGCCCUGCUUUUGUGGGGUGCUCGAGUGGCGAACGGGUGAGUAACACGUGUGUAACCUGCCCUUGUCUUUGGGAUAACUUCAGGAAACUGGGGCUAAUACCGGAUAGGAGCUCCUGCUGCAUGGUGGGGGUUGGAGAGUGUCGGCGGUGGGGGAUGGACUCGCGGCUUAUCCGCUUGUUUGUGGGGUAGGGGCUUACAAAGGCUAUGACGGGUAGCCGGCCUGAGAGGGUGACCGGCGACAUGGGUACUGAGAUACGGCCCAGACUGCUACGGGAGGCAGUAGGGGGGAAUAUUGCACAACGGGGGGAAGCCUGAUGCAGCAACGCCGCGUGCGGGAUGCCGGCCUUCGGGUUGUAAACCGCUUUCGCCUGUGACGAAGCGUGAGUGACGGUAAUGGGUAAAGAAGCCCCGGCUAACUACGUG